GGGCGCGGCAGCCAAUCAGCGCUCGGCUUCUAUAGGGUUUGAGUUAUUAGACGCUGAUCUCAAAACAUCCUUCAUCAGACACCAAGGAGAGGCCAACAGAUGAGGGGAGCCAUUUUUCUGCAAUGGAAUUAAAUGGCCAAGUGGGUUUUUCCUUUGUUGCGAGUGGGGAAUGUUUUUCCUUUGACUCCACCAUCCAGUUCAGGACGCUUGCAUGUGUUGUUUAACAUUUGUCAACAGGCUAAAGGACUCAAAAUUGGAAGAAUGAAGAAGACCUUUUAAAAAGAUCUGGAUUUUUCCUUAUGACUUGGAAUCCAUCUUUGUCUUGUAUAACUAGGUCAUAGCACACCAUUAAUGUCAGCAGUUAACAGUUUUGAAUUCCAAAAAACCUAAGUAAAUGACAUUUAAUUUUUUUCCUCUUUUUUUUCUUGGGUGGGUGGGGGGAGCUUGGCGCUGUCUUAAUCUGUAUUCUCUUGACUGAACAAUAAAUUUUUAAAUAUAGUUUCCUCUAUUAAACACUUAAACCUGGCCAUCUUAAUAACUCCUCUCUUUUUAACAAGGUAAUGUUUUAAAUGUAUAGUUUUAGGACUAGCGAAAUGGCAGCAACAAAAAAAUGUGUGAGCAGUCGUUACUCUUAAGUUUCUAAAAACCUUUUACAUUAGCAGUAAACAGUCCUCAGCGAAGCCGCCUUUUUGCCAACCCAACUCUGGAAAGGUUGCAGACGUGGAAGGAGCAGAAAAAUGCCAUAAGAGUGUAACUUACUAAAAGGUUCUUGGCUGGAGAAGGGGCAACAACCGGUUACCCGCGGAGUGGACAACCCUUCCUUCCCUUGGACAGCAGGAGCAGGCCUAGUUUGACAAUCCUCCCGUCAAAGGACCCUGGGGGUGGAGAUGGCUGCCGCUGCUCGGACCAAGGAGAGAGGCGUCCAAACGUUGUGGAGUCACCUACCCUGUGCGUUCUCCAGCUGCCUGUGACCCCCCAGCAACCCCUGCCCGCGGGACUGGAGCAGAGAACUGGGUGUAACCUUGUGAGCCGUUCCAAAGUGUUGAAAAGAUAGGAUCCUGCCUUGUUGCCCGAA
Heterocephalus glaber (naked mole-rat) is the source of this 1075-nucleotide non-coding RNA. The record is from RefSeq and is a predicted model, not a curated record. NCBI's taxonomy places the organism in Eukaryota, Metazoa, Chordata, Mammalia, Rodentia, Bathyergidae.